UCUGUGAUUGCACAAGUCAAGUUAUUAAUUGCCUGAGUGUUUCAUUCAUAACUUUAACCAAUUGCCUUCUCUCAUUAUCGAUUCUCUCUCUCUCUCUCUCCUUUCUGAUAUUCCCUGAAUCAAGACGUAUUAUCGAUGAUAUGGCACUUGUUUCUGGUGUUAUUUCACGAUGCUUUCUUUUGCUACUCCUGCCUAACUGAAAUGAACUUUCCGUUUCUUCACCUGAUCACCCCAGUCAUUGUCAUUUUAUAUUUCAUCGUUCAGUACAGCAGACAUUGAAUCAUUGCUACACUGUGCAGUUGAUGAUGAUGUUUCAGAGGCAGGAAUAGAUGGUGAUUUGGUCUUAUGGUCUUAUAGUUGUAUGAAAUGAUGGCCCUUAUCACCCAUCAUUUCAUCUACGAUGUCAUAGAAUGGCCAAGUGAUGGCUUCAGUUCCUGUUUUAAUUGAAAGGUCAGAGAUUCUUUUAUAACUGUAUAAAAGAUUUGCCCUUUUCUUGGAAACAUCGAUGGCAUCUAUGCAAUAUCCAUGAAAUCUGCUGCCAAAUUUCUUUUUUCUCUUUUUCUGAUUUGGCUUACAAAUGUUAUGCUCAUCAACUAUUGUCAGCAGAAGUUUGGUGGUAUCAUCUGUCCACUUGAAUGGAACUGAAACAUUUUUUGUAAUGCAUCCGUAUGACUAUUGAUUAAAACUUAACAAUUUUAACAGAGCUGAUAUACAUUUAAUUUAAAACAUAUAGCACUAAAUAUGGGUAAUUAAUUUCAUAUAACUUACCUACUUUUUCUCGAGACUGGCUUUAGUUUCAGUUAACUGUCUGUUUCAGCGAUUGGGAUUGGCUGUUUCUACUGUUUCAACAUUUUAUACUCCGCAAUAAUUUGGGACAGAAACAUUUUAUCUUAAAAAUUUGUCAAUAAAAUUUAUUUGAGCAUCCAUGCAUAAUACAUCACAAAUCACUGUAUCCUAUUUGUUAUGUUCAAAGUUUGAACAUAACGAGUAGGAUAAUAUUACAAAGAUUUGCUACCUUGUGUGAUCCGAUUCUGCUCUACGAGAGUUAAGAAAACGUUGAAUACAAUUUCUUGGGCGACGCCAUGUUGCUCAGAAGAAUGACAGAAACUGCAGAGGUGACUGACGAUCUGAUUUCAGAACUCGUUAUUUGUCUGAUCUGCCGAACACGACCUUCAGUCAGACAUAUAUCAGAACUCAUCGCCGAACUAUUAUUGUUCAGAUUUCUUAAGAAUUCUGAAUUGCCGAAUACGCCUAAUAGCUGUUCCUCCGUGAGGCAUUACGAGGUUUUUUCAUAUAUAUAAUAAUAUGAUCAGACAUCAUGAUUCUAGAAUUGUUUGUUUUCGAACAUAAAUGAUGAUGAUGAUAAAAAUUAUAGGCUUUAAUAAUAUAAAAAUAAGUAUAUAAAAUAGAUUUCAUGUUUGUAUAUAUAUGUUUGUGGACCAGAAAAUCUGUGAAAUGCUAUUAUAUCAAUAAAUCCAUUUAUGCACUAAUUAAUAAGUUGAUUUAAUUAAUACUUCUGUGUAUACUGUAUUUUCUUUUACAUACGUCCAAUGAUGGAGAUACUAAAUUAUGUUUCGAUUAACCUUC
RNAcentral lists this long non-coding RNA (1587 nucleotides) under Androctonus crassicauda. Lineage: Eukaryota; Metazoa; Arthropoda; Arachnida; Scorpiones; Buthidae. The record is from RNAcentral.